GUGUCACUUCGGCAGUACAUACACUAAAAGUUGGAGUGGUAUGGGAAAGGUUCGCAUGGUCCCUGCACAAGAAUGACACAAACAUUCAUGAAGCAUUCCAUAAUUUU
This is a small nuclear RNA of Nannospalax galili (Upper Galilee mountains blind mole rat), 107 nucleotides long. NCBI's taxonomy places the organism in Eukaryota, Metazoa, Chordata, Mammalia, Rodentia, Spalacidae. The record is from Ensembl.